UACAGAGGAUGCAAGCGUUAUCCGGAAUGAUUGGGCGUAAAGCGUCUGUAGGUGGCUUUUUAAGUCCGCCGUCAAAUCCCAGGGCUCAACUCUGGACAGGCGGUGGAAACUACCAAGCUGGAGUACGGUAGGGGCAGAGGGAAUUUCCGGUGGAGCGGUGAAAUGCGUUGAUAUCGGAAGGAACGCCGGUGGCGAAAGCGGUCUGCUGGACCUCUACUGACGCUGAGGCGCGAAAGCCAGGGGAGCGAACGGG
Molecule: ribosomal RNA, 253 nt
Filed under: uncultured bacterium
Lineage: Bacteria
Description: partial 16S ribosomal RNA
Rfam family: Bacterial small subunit ribosomal RNA
Source: RNAcentral